AGUCCUACGGGGGGCAGCAGUGGGGGAUAUUGCACAAUGGGGGAAACCCUGAUGCAGCGACGCCGCGUGAGUGAAGAAGUAUUUCGGUAUGUAAAGCUCUAUCAGCAGGGAAGAUAAUGACGGUACCUGAGUAAGAAGCCCCGGCUAACUACGUGCCAGCAGCCGCGGUAAUACGUAGGGGGCAAGCGUUAUCCGGAUUUACUGGGUUUAAAGGGUGCGUAGGCGGAAUAUCAAGUCAGCGGUAAAGAUUCGGGGCUCAACCCCGUCGUGCCGUUGAAACUGAUGUUCUUGAGUGGGCGA
RNAcentral lists this ribosomal RNA (300 nucleotides) under uncultured bacterium. RNAcentral describes it as "bacterial SSU rRNA". It matches the Rfam family "Bacterial small subunit ribosomal RNA", at positions 335 to 653 of the family's 1533-position model. The record is from RNAcentral.